GAUGAACGCUAGCUACAGGCUUAACACAUGCAAGUCGAGGGGAAACGGCAUUGAGUGCUUGCACUCUUUGGACGUCGACCGGCGCACGGGUGAGUAACGCGUAUCCAACCUUCCCAUUACUGUGGGAUAACCUGCCGAAAGGCAGACUAAUACCGCAUAGUCUUCGAUGACGGCAUCAGAUUUGAAGUAAAGAUUUAUCGGUAAUGGAUGGGGAUGCGUCUGAUUAGCUUGUUGGCGGGGUAAUGGCCCACCAAGGCAACGAUCAGUAGGGGUUCUGAGAGGAAGGUCCCCCACAUUGGAACUGAGACACGGUCCAAACUCCUACGGGAGGCAGCAGUGAGGAAUAUUGGUCAAUGGACGGAAGUCUGAACCAGCCAAGUAGCGUGCAGGAUGACGGCCCUAUGGGUUGUAAACUGCUUUUGUAUGGGGAUAAAGUUAGGGACGUGUCCCUAUUUGCAGGUACCAUACGAAUAAGGACCGGCUAAUUCCGUGCCAGCAGCCGCGGUAAUACGGAAGGUCCAGGCGUUAUCCGGAUUUAUUGGGUUUAAAGGGAGCGUAGGCUGGAGAUUAAGUGUGUUGUGAAAUGUAGACGCUCAACGUCUGAAUUGCAGCGCAUACUGGUUUCCUUGAGUACGCACAACGUUGGCGGAAUUCGUCGUGUAGCGGUGAAAUGCUUAGAUAUGACGAAGAACUCCGAUUGCGAAGGCAGCUGACGGGAGCGCAACUGACGCUUAAGCUCGAAGGUGCGGGUAUCAAACAGG
RNAcentral lists this ribosomal RNA (761 nucleotides) under Prevotella melaninogenica. RNAcentral's name for it is "bacterial SSU rRNA". It matches the Rfam family "Bacterial small subunit ribosomal RNA", at positions 28 to 776 of the family's 1533-position model. The record is from RNAcentral. Lineage: Bacteria; Pseudomonadati; Bacteroidota; Bacteroidia; Bacteroidales; Prevotellaceae.